This 73-nucleotide transfer RNA is filed under the name Ixodes scapularis (black-legged tick). It matches the Rfam family "tRNA". Rfam says of the family: Transfer RNA (tRNA) molecules are approximately 80 nucleotides in length. Their secondary structure includes four short double-helical elements and three loops (D, anti-codon, and T loops). Further hydrogen bonds mediate the characteristic L-shaped molecular structure. tRNAs have two regions of fundamental functional importance: the anti-codon, which is responsible for specific mRNA codon recognition, and the 3' end, to which the tRNAs corresponding amino acid is attached (by aminoacyl-tRNA synthetases). tRNAs cope with the degeneracy of the genetic code in two manners: having more than one tRNA (with a specific anti-codon) for a particular amino acid; and 'wobble' base-pairing, i.e. permitting non-standard base-pairing at the 3rd anti-codon position. Lineage: Eukaryota; Metazoa; Arthropoda; Arachnida; Ixodida; Ixodidae. The record is from Rfam by way of RNAcentral.
UCCUGGUUAGCUCAGUUGGUAGAGCGCUCGACGGGAAAUGAAGAGGUUCCUGGUUCCGUUCCAGGACCAGGCG